AUUUAUGACUAGUGACACAUACCUGCCAUUCCCUUUGAAUGAGACAUGUGGUAAGCUAUAUUCAGACAAACCACCUCAGGUAAUAAAACUGCAGUAGCACUCAGGGGCUAUACCAUUUUCUAGCAUUGAGAGAAAUUCCAAGCCAAGCUGCUAGAAAUCAGCAGAUGACAGGGAUUAAAUUUGUGUGGAGUACUUCCACAACAGAUAAAUAAACAACAUGUUGAACGUUUUGUGCCAGAACACUAUUUUUUCCCCCAACCUAACGCCUCAAAGUGUGAAUGUUAGCCAUCUCCUCCCAAAAAACAAAAAAGAGCUGUAAAUUCACACGGUCAGCAUAACUGCAUGUGUGCGCAAGUUUGCAGGGUAGAGGUGGGAUGUUAUGAUAGGCAGAGGAGCCAUAACAGCAGGCAGCCAGGUCAAGAUCAAGCAGUUUCAUGGACAAUCCACUUUAAGUCUAGCCUCUGUUAUGGUGAAGCCUUCACACUCCUACUGCACAACUGUCUUCUAACUUUACACAACAAUGACGCUUCAAAGUCAAGGCUAUGGGAAAUCAGACACAACACUAAAAUAAAAUAAAAUAAAAUAAAAUAAAAUAAAAUAAAAUAAAAUAAAAUAAAAUAAAAUAGGGUGGCACAAAACCAGCAGAAAUAAGCAUAUAGAAUUAAUUCAUAAACAAUACUUAUGCUAGUAUUUUUGGUAUAUCUGAUUUUUCUGUGUUCCAGGGAACGCGUAAGACAACCAUACUGAAUUAUGUUGAAGAAUUCAACAGAAGAAAUCUUUUUCUUUAAUAAUACCUAAAGCUAAACACGCAUGUAAACAGUGGCUACUGAAUAAGCCAGUCAUCACAGUAGAACCUAUUUAAUUAUCCCACUGUGAGAGCGAGCCACUAUUUCCAUCACCACUUUGCUCACACAGGCUCAGCACACUAUUAAUCCACUUAAACACAAUUUAUAGGGUCUCAGCAUUGACUGUCCGUCGGCAUAAAAUUACAUGAAGCAUCCUUAUAGUGUCGUCAACAGACUAAAUUAGCCAAACUG
Molecule: long non-coding RNA, 1037 nt
Organism: Astatotilapia calliptera (eastern happy)
Lineage: Eukaryota; Metazoa; Chordata; Actinopteri; Cichliformes; Cichlidae
Source: Ensembl